CUUAGAAGCAGCCAUCAUUUAAAGAAAGCGUAAUAGCUCACUGGUCGAGUCGGCCUGCGCGGAAGAUGUAACGGGGCUAAACCAUGCACCGAAGCUGCGGCAGCGACACUAUGUGUUGUUGGGUAGGGGAGCGUUCUGUAAGCCUGUGAAGGUGUGCUGUGAGGCAUGCUGGAGGUAUCAGAAGUGCGAAUGCUGACAUAAGUAACGAUAAAGCGGGUGAAAAGCCCGCUCGCCGGAAGACCAAGGGUUCCUGUCCAACGUUAAUCGGGGCAGGGUGAGUCGACCCCUAAGGCGAGGCCGAAAGGCGUAGUCGAUGGGAAACAGGUUAAUAUUCCUGUACUUGGUGUUACUGCGAAGGGGGGACGGAGAAGGCUAUGUUGGCCGGGCGACGGUUGUCCCGGUUUAAGCGUGUAGGCUGAUUUUCCAGGCAAAUCCGGAAAAUCAAGGCUGAGGCGUGAUGACGAGGCACUACGGUGCUGAAGCAACAAAUGCCCUGCUUCCAGGAAAAGCCUCUAAGCAUCAGGUAACAUCAAAUCGUACCCCAAACCGACACAGGUGGUCAGGUAGAGAAUACCAAGGCGCUUGAGAGAACUCGGGUGAAGGAACUAGGCAAAAUGGUGCCGUAACUUCGGGAGAAGGCACGCUGAUAUGUAGGUGAAGCGACUUGCUCGUGGAGCUGAAAUCAGUCGAAGAUACCAGCUGGCUGCAACUGUUUAUUAAAAACACAGCACUGUGCAAACACGAAAGUGGACGUAUACGGUGUGACGCCUGCCCGGUGCCGGAAGGUUAAUUGAUGGGGUUAGCGGUAACGCGAAGCUCUUGAUCGAAGCCCCGGUAAACGGCGGCCGUAACUAUAACGGUCCUAAGGUAGCGAAAUUCCUUGUCGGGUAAGUUCCGACCUGCACGAAUGGCGUAAUGAUGGCCAGGCUGUCUCCACCCGAGACUCAGUGAAAUUGAACUCGCUGUGAAGAUGCAGUGUACCCGCGGCAAGACGGAAAGACCCCGUGAACCUUUACUAUAGCUUGACACUGAACAUUGAGCCUUGAUGUGUAGGAUAGGUGGGAGGCUUUGAAGUGUGGACGCCAGUCUGCAUGGAGCCGACCUUGAAAUACCACCCUUUAAUGUUUGAUGUUCUAACGUUGGCCCGUUAUCCGGGUUGCGGACAGUGUCUGGUGGGUAGUUUGACUGGGGCGGUCUCCUCCUAAAGAGUAACGGAGGAGCACGAAGGUUGGCUAAUCCUGGUCGGACAUCAGGAGGUUAGUGCAAUGGCAUAAGCCAGCUUGACUGCGAGCGUGACGGCGCGAGCAGGUGCGAAAGCAGGUCAUAGUGAUCCGGUGGUUCUG
This 1343-nucleotide ribosomal RNA is filed under the name Escherichia coli. RNAcentral's name for it is "partial 23S ribosomal RNA". It matches the Rfam family "Bacterial large subunit ribosomal RNA", at positions 1105 to 2431 of the family's 2925-position model. Lineage: Bacteria; Pseudomonadati; Pseudomonadota; Gammaproteobacteria; Enterobacterales; Enterobacteriaceae. The record is from RNAcentral.